RNAcentral lists this ribosomal RNA (228 nucleotides) under uncultured bacterium. RNAcentral describes it as "partial 16S ribosomal RNA". It matches the Rfam family "Bacterial small subunit ribosomal RNA", at positions 568 to 796 of the family's 1533-position model. The record is from RNAcentral.
UGCGUAGGUGGUCUUAUAAGUCAGAAGUGAAAGGCUACGGCUUAACCGUAGUAAGCUUUUGAAACUGUGGGACUUGAGUGCAGGAGAGGAAAGUGGAAUUCCUAGUGUAGCGGUGAAAUGCGUAGAUAUUAGGAGGUACACCAGUGGCGAAGGCGACUUUCUGGACUGUAACUGACACUGAGGCACGAAAGCGUGGGGAGCAAACAGGAUUAGAUACCCUGGUAGUCC